UACGGAGGGUGCAAGCGUUAAUCGGAAUUACUGGGCGUAAAGCGCACGUAGGCUGUUUUGUAAGUCAGAGGUGAAAGCCCACGGCUUAACCGUGGAAUUGCCUUUGAAACUGCGAGACUUGAAUUCGGGAGAGGAUGGCGGAAUUUCAGGUGUAGGAGUGAAAUCCGUAGAUAUCUGAAAGAACAUCAGUGGCGAAGGCGGCCAUCUGGAUCGAUAUUGACGCUGAGGUGCGAAAGCGUGGGGAGCAAAC
RNAcentral lists this ribosomal RNA (250 nucleotides) under uncultured prokaryote. RNAcentral describes it as "partial 16S ribosomal RNA". It matches the Rfam family "Bacterial small subunit ribosomal RNA", at positions 524 to 773 of the family's 1533-position model. The record is from RNAcentral.